This 163-nucleotide small nuclear RNA is filed under the name Meriones unguiculatus (Mongolian gerbil). RNAcentral describes it as "U1 spliceosomal RNA (ENSMUGG00000013207.1)". It matches the Rfam family "U1 spliceosomal RNA". Rfam says of the family: U1 is a small nuclear RNA (snRNA) component of the spliceosome (involved in pre-mRNA splicing). Lineage: Eukaryota; Metazoa; Chordata; Mammalia; Rodentia; Muridae. The record is from RNAcentral.
GUACUUAUCUGGCAGGGCCGAACCCUGCUCAAGAAGGUGGUCUUUCCAGAACUAGGCUCAUCUGCUGAACUUGGGAUGUGCUGAUACCUGUGACUUCCCCAAAGGCAGGAAAUUCAUUUGCAUCAUGUGUGGUAGCUGAGGGCCAUGAUUACACUCUUCUCUG